This 452-nucleotide ribosomal RNA is filed under the name uncultured bacterium. RNAcentral's name for it is "bacterial SSU rRNA". It matches the Rfam family "Bacterial small subunit ribosomal RNA", at positions 923 to 1379 of the family's 1533-position model. The record is from RNAcentral.
GCACAAGCGGUGGAGCAUGUGGUUUAAUUCGAUGCAACGCGAAGAACCUUACCUGGUCUUGACAUCCACGGAAGUUUUCAGAGAUGAGAAUGUGCCUUCGGGAACCGUGAGACAGGUGCUGCAUGGCUGUCGUCAGCUCGUGUUGUGAAAUGUUGGGUUAAGUCCCGCAACGAGCGCAACCCUUAUCCUUUGUUGCCAGCGGUCCCGGGAACUCAAAGGAGACUGCCAGUGAUAAACUGGAGGAAGGUGGGGAUGACGUCAAGUCAUCAUGGCCCUUCGACCAGGGCUACACACGUGCUACAAUGGCGCAUACAAAGAGAAGCGACCUCGCGAGAGCAAGCGAACCUCAUAAAGUGCGUCGUAGUCCGGAUUGGAGUCUGCAACUCGACUCCAUGAAGUCGGAAUCGCUAGUAAUCGUGGAUCAGAAUGCCACGGUGAAUACGUUCCCGGGC